Alligator mississippiensis (American alligator) is the source of this 73-nucleotide transfer RNA. It matches the Rfam family "tRNA". From Rfam's summary of the family: Transfer RNA (tRNA) molecules are approximately 80 nucleotides in length. Their secondary structure includes four short double-helical elements and three loops (D, anti-codon, and T loops). Further hydrogen bonds mediate the characteristic L-shaped molecular structure. tRNAs have two regions of fundamental functional importance: the anti-codon, which is responsible for specific mRNA codon recognition, and the 3' end, to which the tRNAs corresponding amino acid is attached (by aminoacyl-tRNA synthetases). tRNAs cope with the degeneracy of the genetic code in two manners: having more than one tRNA (with a specific anti-codon) for a particular amino acid; and 'wobble' base-pairing, i.e. permitting non-standard base-pairing at the 3rd anti-codon position. Lineage: Eukaryota; Metazoa; Chordata; Crocodylia; Alligatoridae. The record is from Rfam.
GGGAGCAUAGCUCAGUGGUAGAGCAUUUGAUUGCAGCUCAAAGGGUUUCCUAGUUCAAAUUUAGGUGCUUCCU